CCCGCCUAGCCACUAUCCCGAGCUCGAGGAGCUCCCGUUGCCCUCCAUUGCCGCCAUGGCCGCCGCUCUGUUCGGCUCAAAUUCGAGCACGGCAGCCUCCCCUCCUCCUCCUGACCCCUCCAUUGCGUUCCCCUCCUCCCAGAGAGCAUCUCCACCCCACCCACUCGUCGCCGGAGCCACCCUUGGGCCGUGCCCCGAAGAGCACCGCCGCCUCUGCCUCCUUCCUGCCUCCUCCUGUCGCCGUCUUCCCUUCCAUCCCCGGCGACCGCUUCCCUCCUGGACGGGUGCGCCAGGCCCAGCCGCCCCCGCUGGUGGCCUCACCCUGGCCAGGGAUGGCCAGAGUUGGCCAGGCCGGCGCCGGCCUCUUCCCUGCCCUCGCUCCUCUGUCUCUGAUCGGGGAGGCAGCGAGGAGGAAGACGACGCCCAGCUGGCCCCUCCCCCUGAUGUGGGGGACCCACCUGUAAGUGGCCCAAGGCCCUGGUCCACGUGGAUAAGUGGAAGCGUCUUCUCACUGAGUCCGUUUUCAGUUGUUCGAAAACAUAUUUCCACUCGUACGCUUUCAUCUGCAAGAAAGCAUAUUUCCUUCUUCUUGUGAACAGAGUACGUUUUCUGAAUCAGAAAGCGUAUUUCCUCAAAUCUGUUUCUGUCUUAUCCACUCAGGGACCCGGCUGUGAAUAUUCUUUUUACAGAAAAGUCCCUGAUCUUCUACACCUCAUAACUCCGCAACCGUAACUUCGAUUGAGCCCCCUUUGAGAGAGUACCCUUUCCGACGAUUCUUUCCGCGGUCGUUCCGCACUUCUUCCCGGAGCCUUCUUCAUCCCCAGGCAAGCCACAACCACCAAUUGCAUGAUAGCCAUGCAUAAGCUUUGGUUUUCAACUUGAAUCUUUAAUAACUGUCUGUUUGUUUUGCUACCGCGGUCAGUAUUUCGGUUAUGCUUAUGGAUCGGUGUUUACCGUCAUGCUAUGUUUUCAUGCACUCUGUUAGUAUGUUCUUCAAGCUAGUAUUACUUUAAUAUUGGCAAUGUUUGGUAGUAGUA
Molecule: non-coding RNA, 1037 nt
Organism: Aegilops tauschii subsp. strangulata
Lineage: Eukaryota; Viridiplantae; Streptophyta; Magnoliopsida; Poales; Poaceae
Source: RefSeq, a predicted model, not a curated record